GGUUGCUCUGUCCCUCUUAUCUGUGAUGAGCAUUGAAGUCGUUACUGACAUGGCAGCUGCAUGAAAUGACUAUGGAAGUGUUUGGACCUGGUUUCCCACUACGUAAAGGUGAUCGAAACUUACAUUUUCUGGAACCUCAAUGUGAUGUUCCGGAAUAUCUCUGUAUCAGGAGAUGGGAUUUUUAAACAAGUUGCGCUCCAGAGAAGCUAACUGUUGAUUACAUACUUACAAACAGUAUUAGUUCUUUAAGAAAAUCAUCAUCAGAUCCUUGUGUGAUUUGGUAACUGCAAUCAUUCUAGCUCUC
This 304-nucleotide unclassified non-coding RNA is filed under the name Hevea brasiliensis (rubber tree). Lineage: Eukaryota; Viridiplantae; Streptophyta; Magnoliopsida; Malpighiales; Euphorbiaceae. The record is from RNAcentral.